AUGUACUUGCAACAGAGAAUGAAGUCUUUUCUUCUCCAACUCUCUCUCCGACUUCCCGUCUCUGCAAAUUUCUCACAUCUUCUUGUACUUUCAAUAGUUAUAUUUUUUAUUUAAUUUCUCACCCAUCUUCUUCUUAAUUGCAUCCUACUCUUCCUUUUGCAUACUCGAACUAUAAACCCUAGUUCAAAUUUGGGUUUGGUGGGUUCAAUUUAUUGCAGUUUAGAACCAAUUGGCUCUCUCUCUCUCUCUCUCUCUCUCUCUCUCUCUCUCUCUCUCUCUCUCUCUCUCUCUCUCUCUCUCUCUCUCUCUCUCUCUCUCUCUCUCUCUCUCAGCAUCAAUCAAUUGAACUAGGUUUUGUUCUUAUUCAAUGAUAAUUUAUUCUAAAUUCCAUCAAUUUUGUAAACUUUUAAUAGCUUUAGAUGUUUGUAUGAGGAAACAAAAGCAAACAUAAGAAGAUUUUUGGUAGAAAAGUUACAGAAAUUGCAGACGGAAUUAGCCUUCAUUCACAAUGCAAACUCAAAACUAAGGUUAGUUGGUCCAACUGUUCAUUUAGUAGUAGAAGAAGAUGUUGAAACUUAUUAAUAUUGGUUUGAUAAUAUUCAAAAUUUUAUAAUUAAUUUCAGAAAUGUUGUGUUUUUAUGUACAAGAAUCAAUUUUGGAAGGAGGACAAACAGUUUUAGGGUCGGCAAUUCAAGCUAUCGUGGUAGUUGGGGUCGGCAAUUGUUCGAGGAGUUGCACACAUUUAAGAAGAAGAAAAAGAUACAAAAGUUAGAAGAAGAAGAAGAACGAACAGAGUAGUUGGGGUCGGCAAUUGUGCGAGCAGUUGCACACAUUUAAGAAGAAGAAAAAGUUACAAAGGUUAAAGGAAGAAGAAGAAACAGAACCGACAAAAAACAAACUAGUGAGUGGACUCUAAUUUGGAUAAAUUAUUUUUAAUGUGAUUUUGAUGCGCCUUGGUCAUGUACAUUAGAAUAUGGUUACUGUUGGUUUUAAUAUCCUAUACAUAUAUCAUGAUGAUAGUGAAAUUGUAUGUAUAUUAGCUUUAUUUUAAGUUUCAACAGAUCAACUUCCUGAAAGUUGGCAUGUGGCAGUGGCAUUCACAAACUCAGAUAAUAUGUUGCAUAUAAUCAAUAGAGUUCAGAGCUAAGAUAACAUUUGAUUCUCCUCCAUGACCAUUUCUAUAAUUAAACAUAAUAGUGCUUUAUUUUUAUUUUUUUCAAAUGCAAAGAAAUAGCUUAUUUUAAAAUAAAGGCUUAUUUUCCAUUUGUAUAAAAAUUUGAGGAAGGCUUUUAUAUAAAUUGAUAUACAAUUCUAGGCACGCUUUCUUCAUUAAGGGGCAGCAAGCAAUUGAUAUAGCCAUUAUGGAAAGAGUACUACUAUGAUAGCUUGAAUAUAUAUAUAUAGUAAAAAACCACAAUUUUUACGAUUAUUUAUGCAAACUAGUCUACCUAUUUCUAACGUUAGUCCCCAUCGUGUCACGGUUCUAUAUUUAUACAAUUCAUCAGUUUGUAAACUACAAUUGAAGUAAUUGUAAGUCUGUAACAACUGAAGAAUGUAUGAAUUUACUUUCCAAUACCUCUUGUUUUGUUUAUCUUUUUAAUUUAUUAAUUUUGGUGGCGGUAUGUUUUGUUUAUUUUUUCAAAAAAAUAAAAAAAAAAUCGCAAGCAAAUGCUAGUAUAUCGAACAAUGUUCACAUGAUAUUUAAAUUUCACAGUACUCUAGCUUUAGGGUCCUUUGCAGUAUCGAGACUUUGAUAAAGAACUUCAUUUUUACUUGAAGGUAAUUUAUAUUAGAAAUUUUAAUUGUAGUGCAUAAUACAUGACAGUGUAGUGUGAGCCACCCAAAUACAAUAUUUGUGUUACAGCCCAACCUGCUGACCUGUCACAUAUAAUAUUGGCUUAAGAUUUUGCAGCAAUGCAAAAUGCUCUUGUGUGGUCGAUUCCACCUAAUUAUGCCAUCCAUUCAAUUACCAGGACACAGUUUAAGUUUCAAUACUAUAGAUAUUGGAACUUAAGUAUGUUGCUGGCAUCAUUUUUUGAAUCAUUUGCAUUGAGCAUAGUCGAAAACUAUAUACAUGAAAUUAUUUUCUGGUAAAUCCUAUUCAUUAUAUUGUUUAAGCUGAUACUUAAUGUAACACCCCGGGUCAGCAGGUGGUUUGCCGAGGGGGUGGAUCCUACGACACCUAAGAGGAGGAUGUCCUGACAUUGGAAUAUAGGUAUAGAUCCGUCAUAUAUAAUCACCGAGGCCUUUUGGGCUCACUUGGCUACAGAGUUCGAAAGAACUCCAGAGUUAAGCGUGCUCGGGUGGGAGUAGUCUCAGGAUGGGUCACCUCCUGGGAAGCAGGUUGUUGCCCAUAAAACCCCACACUGUCGGAUGUCCGCAGUGGUUAAGUGGGGACAAUAUCGGUGGUGAUAUAGGUCGGGUCGCUACAAAUGGUAUCAGAGCCGACGACGGUUCUCCUGUCGAGGGUGGGAGAGUAUGCUGGAAAGGCGCCUAGGUCGGUAAAGGGGUGACGGUUGCGCCGGGUACUCGUCUCGCGAGGGGCGGGGAACGUCGGAGAUCUGGGACUGUAUAUUCCAGAGCCGAGGACGACUCUCCUCUAAGGUGGUGGGAUUGUAACACCCCGGGUCGGCAGGUGGUUUGCCGAGGGGGUGGAUCCUACGACACCUAAGAGGAAGAUGUCCUGACAUUGGAAUAUAGGUAUAGAUCCGUCAUAUAUAAUCACCGAGGCCUUUUGCGCUCACUUGGAUACAGAGUUCGAAAGAACUCUAAAGUUAAGUGUGCUCGGGUGGGAGUAGUCUCAGGAUGGGUCACCUCCUGGGAAGCAGGCUGCUGCCCAUAAAACCCCACACUAUCGGAUGUCCGUAGUGGUUAAGUGGGGACAAUAUCGGUGGUGAUAUAGGUCGGGUCGCUAUACUUAAGUUUAUAUCUUUGUCCCUACAGGUCUUACAAAGGAUGUACUUAGUGUUUCGUUUAGCCCUGAUGGGUAACAUCUGGCUAGUGGACCUACACUUGUACAGGUUAGAUUUUAAGUGUUUCCUAUUGCAUAUACCCGAUUAGCUAUGUUGCCUAGACUCCUCCAUUUUUUACACCAAGGUGAUACCAUAGUGACUUUUGAAUGAAAAUGCCAAAGAUAGAUUCAAUUUGUUAUCUAGUGAAUGCUGGUAAAUAAAAGCGUUACCAUUUGAAUGCUUUUUAACAGUAUGUUCUUCUUACUGAUCCAAGGCAUACAAAUUGGUUCUUUGUAUUGCGUGGUCACCUGACGGUAAACAUCUCGUGAGUGGAAGCAAGGCUACAGGACUUUUAAGUUAGGACCCACAAACGGGAAAGCAAUCCGGCAACCCAUUCAUUGUAAGUCUUCAUAAUUAAUAAGGUUAUUUAAUACAUUUUGUCAAAGCAGAUUGUUUGUACAGUACUAGUUGAAGAACUAUUGGGAGAGCAAAGUUUGCUUGUAGAGAGAUUUUUAAGUAUUAUACCUGCUACAAUUUAAUCUAAACUAGCACUUUUGCCGAAUCACACCACUGCUGGUCUGAUCACUGAUCAGAUUUAAAAGUUGUUUUUAUGAUAUGAUUAACUGCAUGAGAGCAAUGACAAUCAUAUCACACGAUUUAAUUAAUUUUUAUGCUUAUGUAAUUAUUUUUUCUCUAUGCAGAUCAUGAAUGGAUUCAAUGCCAAUAAUGCUCUAAAUUUAUGAGUUUGCCAAAAAGGGUUCACUAAAAAAUCAUCCACAUGAUCCUAAGAACACAGGUAAGAUUUCAAGUUUCAAGUUACCGUGAACAUUAACUAGGCAUGUUUUAACCGGUUUGAGUGCAUGCUGCUUAUAUGCACUUGAUCCUAAUGUGUUACUUUGAUUGUUAGAAUAUUAAAGCAAUAUAAAUUUGUUUCCUAGAUUGUGUUAGAGUUCAAAUUGCAGUCGACAUGGCCCGUUUGGUUUACAUUCAUGGACACGUAAACUAAAAUUUUCAUCUAUGCAAUUAUUAAUUAUUAUUAAACCUAAUUGAGUAUUCUCUUUGUAGAUUUUUUUUUGUAUUUGUGAAGGAGGUUAUAGCUCGAACAAAAUAAAGCUGUGGUGGUGAAGAUGAAUCCGAGAAGACAUGACAGAUCUUGACUUCUAAGUCCACAUAGAUAUUUUCUCUAGUUUUGAUACUUAUUGUAUACUUUAUUUGUCAGUUUGUGACAUUCAUUAUUAUGUGUAAAGAGUUUAUGUGUAAUUGCUAUUUUUUAGGAUUUAGGAUUAAUAAGUUGUAAUUGCAUAAAUAAGUUGUAAUUGCACAUUGAGAAAAAGUAAUGAAUAAAAAAUUAUUUAGGAUUAUGCUUUGCGCAGUUUCAAGUGUUUUUUUUUUUUUUUUUUUUUUUUUUU
Molecule: long non-coding RNA, 4360 nt
Filed under: Aquilegia coerulea
Lineage: Eukaryota; Viridiplantae; Streptophyta; Magnoliopsida; Ranunculales; Ranunculaceae
Description: long non-coding RNA (ACOE_LNC001160)
Source: RNAcentral